RNAcentral lists this ribosomal RNA (478 nucleotides) under uncultured bacterium. RNAcentral describes it as "partial 16S ribosomal RNA". It matches the Rfam family "Bacterial small subunit ribosomal RNA", at positions 28 to 507 of the family's 1533-position model. The record is from RNAcentral.
GAUGAACGCUAGCGGCAGACCUAACACAUGCAAGUCGAGGGAGAAGCCCUUUCGGGGGCAGAAACCGGCGCACGGGUGCGUAACGCGUAUGCAACCUACCUUUCACAGGGGGAUAGCCCGAAGAAAUUUGGAUUAAUACCCCAUAAUAUUAUUGGAUGGCAUCAUUUGAUAAUUAAAACUGCGGUGGUGAAAGAUGGGCAUGCGUCCUAUUAGCUAGUUGGAGUGGUAACGGCACCCCAAGGCUACGAUAGGUAGGGGUCCUGAGAGGGAGAUCCCCCACACUGGUACUGAGACAGGGACCAGAAUCCUACGGGAGGCAGCAGUGAGGAAUAUUGGUCAAUGGUCGGAAGACUGAACCAGCCAUGCCGCGUGCAGGAAGAAUGCCUUAUGGGUUGUAAACUGCUUUUAUAUGGGAAGAAUAAGGCGUACGUGUACGUUGAUGACGGUACCAUAUGAAUAAGCAUCGGCUAACUCCGUG